RNAcentral lists this ribosomal RNA (437 nucleotides) under uncultured bacterium. RNAcentral describes it as "bacterial SSU rRNA". It matches the Rfam family "Bacterial small subunit ribosomal RNA", at positions 29 to 507 of the family's 1533-position model. The record is from RNAcentral.
AACGAACGCUGGCGGCAGGCUUAACACAUGCAAGUCGAACGCUCGUAGCAAUACGGGAGUGGCGGACGGGUGAGUAACGCGUGGGAACGUGCCCUGAGGUACGGAAUAACUGCGGGAAACUGCAGCUAGUACCGUAUGAGCCCCUAACGGGGAAAGAUUUAUCGCCUUGGGAGCGGCCCGCGUCGGAUUAGCUAGUUGGUGGGGUAACGGGCCUACCAAGGCUUCGAUCCGUAGCUGGUCUGAGAGGACGAUCAGCCACACUGGGACUGAGACACGGCCCAGACUCCUACGGGAGGCAGCAGUGGGGAAUCUUGCGCAAUGGGGGCAACCCUGACGCAGCCAUGCCGCGUGAAUGAUGAAGGCCUUAGGGUUGUAAAGUUCUUUUGCCCGUGACGAUGAUGACGGUAACGGGAGAAUAAGCUCCGGCUAACUUCGUG